This 72-nucleotide transfer RNA is filed under the name Stegodyphus mimosarum. It matches the Rfam family "tRNA". From Rfam's summary of the family: Transfer RNA (tRNA) molecules are approximately 80 nucleotides in length. Lineage: Eukaryota; Metazoa; Arthropoda; Arachnida; Araneae; Eresidae. The record is from Rfam by way of RNAcentral.
AGCAGAGUGGCGCAGUGGAUGCGUGUUGGGCCAAUAACCCAGAGAUUCGUGGAUCGAACCCAUGCUCGGCCA